ACCUGAGAGAUCAGGUGUUCCCUUCGGGGACAGAAUGACAGGUGGUGCAUGGUUGUCGUCAGCUCGUGUCGUGAGAUGUUGGGUUAAGUCCCGCAACGAGCGCAACCCUUAUUGCCAGUUGCCAGCAUUCAGUUGGGCACUCUGACAAGACUGCCGGUGACAAACCGGAGGAAGGUGGGGAUGACGUCAAAUCAUCAUGCCCCUUAUGACCUGGGCUACACACGUGCUACAAUGGACGAUACAACGAGUUGCUAGACCGCGAGGUUAAGCUAAUCUCUUAAAGUCGUUCUCAGUUCGGAUUGCAGGCUGCAACUCGCCUGCAUGAAGUCGGAAUCGCUAGUAAUCGCGGAUCAGCAUGCCGCGGUGAAUACGUUCCCGGGUCUUGUACACACCGA
This 395-nucleotide ribosomal RNA is filed under the name uncultured bacterium. Its description in RNAcentral is "bacterial SSU rRNA". It matches the Rfam family "Bacterial small subunit ribosomal RNA", at positions 997 to 1393 of the family's 1533-position model. The record is from RNAcentral.